This 683-nucleotide long non-coding RNA is filed under the name Coturnix japonica (Japanese quail). Its description in RNAcentral is "lncRNA (ENSCJPG00005008459.1)". Lineage: Eukaryota; Metazoa; Chordata; Aves; Galliformes; Phasianidae. The record is from RNAcentral.
CAGAAAGGAAAAAGAAAACCAAAGAGGUUAUUUUUGUUCAAGUAGAGAAAGGAGUUCCUUUUGGCACCUUUUCUAAGGCAUGAACUAUACCCAAAGAACAGCUGAAAUGGGGUGGGAAUGGCACUCCUGGUGUAAACAGUGAGAUUUUUCUAAGGCAACAGCUACUCCUUUAGAUACAGGUUUGUGCUGAACUGGAAAUUUGGGAGGUAGAAACUGAUUAUCAUUCCUGCUGGUAAAUCUGCCAGGCUAAAUAUGAAAAUAAAAGGCCCAAAUUUUCCAGGCAAAGCUUGCCAAUUCUAAAUAAUCCUGCUAAACAUGUCAGCUGGAGACUGAUGCAAGGGCUGCUGCUCAUACAUUAUGUAGAAUUCAGGGCCACAGCACAGAACUCUGAGGUUUUGGGGCUGAGAAAUGUGUCUGGAUCUGCUCCACUGCUGUUCUGCAUUAUUCUUUCUUCUGUGCCUCUUGUGGUAUUCGUGACAGCCAGUGACAAUGUCAUAGAAGGCUACCACGUUGGUUGAGCAUGACUUCCCCCUGGUGAACCCAUGAUGGCUACUCCUGAUAACCUCCUUUUCUUCCAAUUGUUUGGAGAUGGCAUCCAGCACAACCUGUUCCAUCACCUUUCCAGGGACAGAGGUGAGGCUGAAUAUAAUAAAAUAUUAGUUAAGAUUUAUUUAUUUAUUUUU